RNAcentral lists this ribosomal RNA (16 nucleotides) under Wolfiporia cocos. Its description in RNAcentral is "partial 28S ribosomal RNA". RNAcentral also lists the same sequence under 1 other name. Lineage: Eukaryota; Fungi; Basidiomycota; Agaricomycetes; Polyporales; Phaeolaceae. The record is from RNAcentral.
UUGACCUCAGAUCAGG